CACGACUCUCGGCAACGGAUAUCUAGGCUCUCGCAUCGAUGAAGAACGUAGCAAACUGCUGAUAGUUGGUGUGAAUUGCAGAAUCCCGUGAACCAUGGAGUCUUUGAACGCAAGUUGCGCCCGAAGCCGUCAGCCGAGGGCACGUCUGCNUGGGCGUCAC
RNAcentral lists this ribosomal RNA (160 nucleotides) under Ditassa retusa. RNAcentral's name for it is "5.8S ribosomal RNA". It matches the Rfam family "5.8S ribosomal RNA". From Rfam's summary of the family: 5.8S ribosomal RNA (5.8S rRNA) is a component of the large subunit of the eukaryotic ribosome. Lineage: Eukaryota; Viridiplantae; Streptophyta; Magnoliopsida; Gentianales; Apocynaceae. The record is from RNAcentral.